AAAAAUACUAAUAUUUAUAUUAGUUAAGAUUAAGAUAUGUGGGCCAUGUGCCCACUUCGAUAUUAAAUUUAUUUUUUUGGGGGAAGGCUCACCGCCACUGGGGCCCUCGCGCGUCGCCCAGGCAUUGCACUGCUGCCUGGGCCUGGCGCACCCCAA
RNAcentral lists this small nuclear RNA (156 nucleotides) under Oryza sativa Japonica Group (Japanese rice). Its description in RNAcentral is "U2 spliceosomal RNA". The record is from RNAcentral. Lineage: Eukaryota; Viridiplantae; Streptophyta; Magnoliopsida; Poales; Poaceae.